GCAUUGGUGGUUCAAUGGUAGAAUUCUUGUUUGCCAUGCAGGUGACCCGGGUUUGAUUCCCGGCCAAUGCA
Austrofundulus limnaeus is the source of this 71-nucleotide non-coding RNA. The record is from the annotation of a RefSeq genome assembly. NCBI's taxonomy places the organism in Eukaryota, Metazoa, Chordata, Actinopteri, Cyprinodontiformes, Rivulidae.